RNAcentral lists this ribosomal RNA (279 nucleotides) under uncultured bacterium. RNAcentral's name for it is "partial 16S ribosomal RNA". It matches the Rfam family "Bacterial small subunit ribosomal RNA", at positions 506 to 784 of the family's 1533-position model. The record is from RNAcentral.
UGCCAGCCGCCGCGGUAAUACGGAGGGUCCGAGCGUUAAUCGGAAUUACUGGGCGUAAAGCGCGCGUAGGCGGUUUGAUAAGCGAGAUGUGAAAGCCCAGGGCUCAACCUUGGAACUGCAUUUCGAACUGUCAGGCUAGAAUACAGCAGAGGAUAGUGGAAUUUCAGGUGUAGCGGUGAAAUGCGUAGAGAUCUGAAGGAACAUCAGUGGCGAAGGCGACUGUCUGGGCUGAUAUUGACGCUGAGGUGCGAAAGCGUGGGGAGCAAACGGGAUUAGAUA